GACGAACGCUGGCGGCGUGCUUAACACAUGCAAGUCGAACGGAAAGGCCCUGCUUUUGUGGGGUGCUCGAGUGGCGAACGGGUGUGUAACACGUGAGUAACCUGCCCUUGACUUUGUGAUAACUUCAGGAAACUGGGGCUAAUACCGGAUAGGAUCUCCUGCUGCAUGGUGGGGGUUGGAAAGUUUCGGCGGUUGGGGAUGGACUCGCGGCUUAUCAGCUUGUUUGUGGGGUAGUGGCUUACCAAGGGUUUGACGGGUAGCCGGCAUGAGAGGGUGACCGGCCACAUGGGGACUGAGAUACGGAGCAGAAUGCAACGGGAGGCAGCAGUGGGGAAGAUUGCACAAUGGGAGGAAGCCUGAUGCAGAAACGCCGGGUGCGGGAUGACGGGCUUCGGGUUGUAAACAGAAUUAGAAUGUGACGAAGAGUGAGUGACGGUAAUGGGUAAAGAAGCAACGGCUAACUACGUG
This 468-nucleotide ribosomal RNA is filed under the name uncultured bacterium. RNAcentral's name for it is "partial 16S ribosomal RNA". It matches the Rfam family "Bacterial small subunit ribosomal RNA", at positions 28 to 507 of the family's 1533-position model. The record is from RNAcentral.